CGAACGUAAAAGAGACCAUAGGCUGGCUUACGUUUGUCGAACGUCACUGCGGAUUUCCACGUUCUGUGUGGUGCAGAGACGAGAUUCUGAGAGACCAAACUCUUCGACAUGCUGUCCUGAGAUGCGAAUGCCUCUGUACCGACUAACCAAAGAACGCAGCCGCCCAGCUUCGGCUCCAGCAACUGAGUUCGACAUUCUUGAACCACGUGCUUCGCAAAGCGGGUUACGAUACCGGUGCUGCGCUCCAGCAGAUGUCCAUGGAUUUCUCCAACUGCAAAAGUACAUCGUCUGGAGAUACAAAUUGGAAAGUCUAAAUGGAAUUGAGUCUUCGAAUCAAGUUUGUGUAAAUAUGAGGCCUUAGCAAACAUAGAAAUGCAGUUAGUCGACAAGUCGGCACUGUCCAUUUUUCUUUACACGCGUGGUAUUUCAUUCUCUGUACGCCACUAACGGCAAGUAUGUUCAAGCUGUUAAGAAAGUCGUAAAAAGGCUUGGAAAUACACAUCGAAUCGUUUAUAUCAGAUAAUAUGUCGAUAGGAUUUUUUUCCCUCUUCCUGUCUCUCGAUUACACUAAUGCUCUUAUCUUAUCGAUGAAAAAAUUUGAUAUCAUCUUGAGAGUUGAACAAUGCUAGAUGUUUUCGAGAGAGAGUAAAUACAUUGAUUUCAGGAAUACCCGCGUUGCAUUUGCUUUGAAAUACGUCGCACGAUUCAUUCAAAAUGAAAAAAAUAAAAAAAU
This 733-nucleotide unclassified non-coding RNA is filed under the name Neodiprion lecontei (redheaded pine sawfly). Its description in RNAcentral is "uncharacterized LOC124293491, transcript variant X4". Lineage: Eukaryota; Metazoa; Arthropoda; Insecta; Hymenoptera; Diprionidae. The record is from RNAcentral.